Molecule: long non-coding RNA, 431 nt
Filed under: Canis lupus familiaris (dog)
Lineage: Eukaryota; Metazoa; Chordata; Mammalia; Carnivora; Canidae
Description: lncRNA (ENSCAFG00805002549.1, ENSCAFG00845008946.1)
Source: RNAcentral
GGGAGGGGUUACAGUCAGAUUUCUAGGUUGGGAAGGUCCUUCCCUGUGGAGAUUUCCUAGCAUUUGGCAAGAUGAGACUCUCCCUUCAAAUAUAGAAGUAUUCCUGGCAGCAAUCCUCAGUGUGGGCUGCUCUGAGCAGCAGAGGAUGUUGUCAUGCGAGAAACAGAGAGCACAAGUCUCAGUUGAAAGUCUCCUGGAACUUUGAGAUUGGGCCAAGAUGCAUUUGCCAGUCAAAUUUGAGACCGUAGGACUAUGUUGUGUGAGGUACAGCACACAGGAAGCCUCUGUUCCUGCUACUGGCUUUGCUCUGGAGGCAAUCAGCUCCCCACUCUCGGCUCAAGUGGUGCUGGCCUGCACUGCAUCCAGGAGUUGUUACCAGUCCUUCUGGUUACGUAAGUCUGGCAGUCAUUCUCCACAGCUGGAGGGGCUGU